UGAGGAAUAUUGGGCAAUGCCCGAAAGGGUGACCCAGCAACGCCGCGUGGAGGAUGAAGGUCGUAAGAUUGUAAACUCCUGUUAGAGGGGAAGAAUAACUAAGUUUGGAGCUUAGUAUGACUGUACCCUCAGAGAAAGCCCCGGCUAACUACGUGCCAGCAGCCGCGGAAAUACGUAGGGGGCAAGCGAUGUCCGGAUUUACUGGGUGAAAAGGGCCCGCAGGCGGAAUGGAAAGUCAGUGGUGAAAUCCUACAGCUUAACUGUAGAACUGCCUUUGAUACUUUCAUUCUUGAGUUCGGGAGAGAGAGACGGAAUUCCAGGUGUAGUGGUGAAAUACGUAGAUAUCUGGAAGAACACCAGUUGCGAAGGCGGUCUCUUGGUCCGACACUGACGCUGAGGCGCGAAAGCGUGGGGAGCAAACA
RNAcentral lists this ribosomal RNA (422 nucleotides) under uncultured bacterium. RNAcentral describes it as "bacterial SSU rRNA". It matches the Rfam family "Bacterial small subunit ribosomal RNA", at positions 355 to 774 of the family's 1533-position model. The record is from RNAcentral.